RNAcentral lists this ribosomal RNA (767 nucleotides) under Mycolicibacterium iranicum. RNAcentral's name for it is "bacterial SSU rRNA". It matches the Rfam family "Bacterial small subunit ribosomal RNA", at positions 94 to 873 of the family's 1533-position model. The record is from RNAcentral. Lineage: Bacteria; Bacillati; Actinomycetota; Actinomycetes; Mycobacteriales; Mycobacteriaceae.
AGUGGCGAACGGGUGAGUAACACGUGGGUGAUCUGCCCUGCACUUUGGGAUAAGCCUGGGAAACUGGGUCUAAUACCGGAUAGGACUACGCACUGCAUGGUGUGUGGUGGAAAGCUUUUGCGGUGUGGGAUGGGCCCGCGGCCUAUCAGCUUGUUGGUGGGGUGAUGGCCUACCAAGGCGACGACGGGUAGCCGGCCUGAGAGGGUGACCGGCCACACUGGGACUGAGAUACGGCCCAGACUCCUACGGGAGGCAGCAGUGGGGAAUAUUGCACAAUGGGCGCAAGCCUGAUGCAGCGACGCCGCGUGAGGGAUGACGGCCUUCGGGUUGUAAACCUCUUUCGCCAGGGACGAAGCGCAAGUGACGGUACCUGGAGAAGAAGGACCGGCCAACUACGUGCCAGCAGCCGCGGUAAUACGUAGGGUCCGAGCGUUGUCCGGAAUUACUGGGCGUAAAGAGCUCGUAGGUGGUUUGUCGCGUUGUUCGUGAAAACUCACAGCUUAACUGUGGGCGUGCGGGCGAUACGGGCAGACUGGAGUACUGCAGGGGAGACUGGAAUUCCUGGUGUAGCGGUGGAAUGCGCAGAUAUCAGGAGGAACACCGGUGGCGAAGGCGGGUCUCUGGGCAGUAACUGACGCUGAGGAGCGAAAGCGUGGGGAGCGAACAGGAUUAGAUACCCUGGUAGUCCACGCCGUAAACGGUGGGUACUAGGUGUGGGUUUCCUUCCUUGGGAUCCGUGCCGUAGCUAACGCAUUAAGUACCCCGCC